RNAcentral lists this ribosomal RNA (434 nucleotides) under uncultured Lachnospiraceae bacterium. RNAcentral describes it as "partial 16S ribosomal RNA". It matches the Rfam family "Bacterial small subunit ribosomal RNA", at positions 341 to 792 of the family's 1533-position model. The record is from RNAcentral. Lineage: Bacteria; Bacillati; Bacillota; Clostridia; Lachnospirales; Lachnospiraceae.
ACGGAAGGCAGCAGUGGGGAAUAUUGCACAAUGGGGGAAACCCUGAUGCAGCGACGCCGCGUGAGUGAAGAAGUAUUUCGGUAUGUAAAGCUCUAUCAGCAGGAAAGAAAAUGACGGUACCUGACUAAGAAGCCCCGGCUAACUACGUGCCAGCAGCCGCGGUAAUACGUAGGGGGCAAGCGUUAUCCGGAUUUACUGGGUGUAAAGGGAGCGUAGACGGCUUUGCAAGUCUGAAGUGAAAGCCCGGGGCUCAACCCCGGAACUGCUUUGGAAACUGCAUAGCUAGAGUGCAGGAGAGGUAAGUGGAAUUCCUAGUGUAGCGGUGAAAUGCGUAGAUAUUAGGAGGAACACCAGUGGCGAAGGCGGCUUACUGGACUGUAACUGACGUUGAGGCUCGAAGGCGUGGGGAGCAAACAGGAUUAGAUACCCUGGUA